This is a long non-coding RNA of Brassica oleracea var. oleracea, 2084 nucleotides long. RefSeq lists it as uncharacterized. NCBI's taxonomy places the organism in Eukaryota, Viridiplantae, Streptophyta, Magnoliopsida, Brassicales, Brassicaceae. The record is from RefSeq and is a predicted model, not a curated record. The transcript has 6 exons.
ACUCCUUUCAAUCUCUGUGCCGAUUUAUCAGAUUCACUUUUGUCUUUCUCAUCUGAAGAAAGAUGUUAUUCACAACUCAAUUCUUCAACUGUUUAUCUUCCUCCACCUCUCUCUUUCUCUCUCCCUAUCUCAUAAAAGCCCUUCUUCGCCGCAACAGACGUGGUCCUUGAAACCGUUGCAAUUCCCUUCCCUUUUCACCCUAUAGAAGCACAUCAAGCAAUGGCUUCCAGAACUGCAAAAUCCACCUAGAGAAAUAAAUCUACAGUCUCAUUAACCAAAGAAAUCUACCGAGUUGCUGAUCACUCUCGAAUCAUUUGUUUCACUCACAUCUCUGACCUCCCCGAGUUGGAAGACACCCGUCUGUUCAUCGACGCAGAUGGAUUCAAUUCCACUUAUUCAAAGAGUUUGAAGUUAAUCUUGUGCGCAAAGGCGAUCUCUAUUUGGUUCUGAUUUCCUCUUAUCGAUUCUCUGAGUUUAGGGUUUUAAUCGAUUCGUUUGAUUAAUUCAUAAUGCUCAUGGUUGAAAAUUGGGAAAAAUGAGUUUGCCUGGUGCAAUUUUCUUUUGCUGCAGUUAAUAAACCACAAAACAUAUGUUAAAUCAAGGUUAAAAUGUGAUUGGAACAGAUGGAGGCAGCAAGCUACUCUUGGAAGAACAGACAACCAAUGUAGUUUUUUUCAGAUUACAUCUCAUCUGAGAAAUGAGAAUAUCACAGAUGUUGAUGAUCAUCUUCAUGAUAUCUCCAAGUAAUUAAGCUAAAUACACAUGAACCAAAAAAAACUACAACAUUUGUGUAGACGAUUGUAGCAUCUGACUGUAAUUGCAGGGACUGGCUAUACCCUGAAGUUUUAACUGUAUACAGGACAUGUGUGGUAUUCUAGGUUACAUACUACAAGAUAUGAUAAGAGGAAGAACAGUUCGAUGCAACAGUUUAGGAUGGCAUUGUCAUAUGAUCCAUUGUGUUGGGAAACAUAUGGAGAAAUUUGUAGUUUACGUGUCUUUGAGGAAUCCUUCCAUAGUUUUCGGCAAUGUAGCUUCCCAGCUUCUCAGAAAACUUUGGUUUCACAAAGAAUAAACUUCUCAGAAGGAGAAACCAUGGACCAGCUUUGAUCGGCAAACAUAACAUGUUCCAGGAGAGUACCAACAUGAUCUGAUAUUAAAGCAGCUUAGAGCAAAGAUUCCGCCAAAUACUGACAAGCAACGUGACCGUAUUUCUCAUACACAUGUGAAAUAUCUUAAAGUUGAGCUAGAAUGAAAGCGUAUUAGGUAAUGUUACUAUUUUUAAAAUUCUCAGUUAUCAUGAUGUUGUACGAGUAGGACUAUUAUAUUUUCUUCAUGAUAUAAUGAUAAAGUUCCUUACAUGUUUCCUUAUCUCUAAGUAUCUAUAUCGUUUACGUAUUGGAUGCUCUACUGCCUACGCUCUAUAAGAAUAUGUGCCGUCCAAAAUGGGAGGGAUUGAUGUCCGUACAUGGAGUCUUAAAAAAAUUUCCCCAGGAGAAUCUGAGCAUCACAAGAGUGUUUAAAUAGCAACAAGGAGAAAGAUUCUUAUGUAGCAGUCAUAUGGAGAGCGCCAAAAACUGUUUCGAUGAGAUAGCAGUGAAGGACGUUCAUAUCUGGACUGCUCUCAUCUCCGGUUUCAGGUACCAUGCACCAUCAGAAGCUGGUGCAGAUAUUCUUUUGGAUUCUUUGUCAAUGGGAGGGCUUACUGCUGCGCAAAACAGCUUAUUGGAUGGAGACUUACUUAUCUAUUCACGAGAAUAAUGCUUCAAUAGCCACCAGCGAAACAUUUUCAUCAACUUCUCCCUUUGCUUCUACUUCAAUGAUGGAUUUAUAGGACGUAUUUUCUCCCCCACCCCAAAAAGGGGACAAGGGUUCAACAUUUCCGUCCAUUUUUGCAUUGGAGAGCAGCACUUAACAAAGAUAAUGUGCCAUUUGAAUUGCGAGAUACCAUUACGAGCUUAAUAUAUACGAGUGUUAUUUUGAGAAAUAACUCGAAUUUCAAAUUAUUCGGUUGCUUUCACAGAUCUUACUCUAGAUGUGUCCACUUUCUUUUACAGGCUGCAAUUCCAAAAGUCAGGUCCCAAAUU